Molecule: ribosomal RNA, 234 nt
Filed under: uncultured bacterium
Lineage: Bacteria
Description: partial 16S ribosomal RNA
Rfam family: Bacterial small subunit ribosomal RNA
Source: RNAcentral
UACGUAGGGGGCAAGCGUUGUCCGGAUUUAUUGGGCGUAAAGAGCGUGUAGGCGGCCAUUCAGGUCAGCUGUGAAAACUCGAGGCUCAACCUCGAGACGUCGGUUGAAACCGUUUGGCUAGAGUCCGGAAGAGGAGAGUGGAAUUCCCGGUGUAGCGGUGAAAUGCGCAGAUAUCGGGGAAGAACACCCCGUGGCGAAGGCGGCUCUCUGGGACGGUACUGACGCUGAGGCACG